This 591-nucleotide ribosomal RNA is filed under the name uncultured Desulfosporosinus sp. Its description in RNAcentral is "bacterial SSU rRNA". It matches the Rfam family "Bacterial small subunit ribosomal RNA", at positions 338 to 916 of the family's 1533-position model. Lineage: Bacteria; Bacillati; Bacillota; Clostridia; Eubacteriales; Desulfitobacteriaceae. The record is from RNAcentral.
CCUACGGGAGGCAGCAGUGGGGAAUCUUCCGCAAUGGACGAAAGUCUGACGGAGCAACGCCGCGUGUAUGAUGAAGGUCUUCGGAUUGUAAAGUACUGUCUUUGGGGAAGAACGGUGGGUUUGAGAAUAUUGAGUCCACAUGACGGUACCCAAGGAGGAAGCCCCGGCUAACUACGUGCCAGCAGCCGCGGUAAUACGUAGGGGGCAAGCGUUGUCCGGAAUUAUUGGGCGUAAAGGGCGCGUAGGCGGAUGCUUAAGUCCGGUGUGAAAGAUCAGGGCUCAACCCUGAGAGUGCAUCGGAAACUGGGUAUCUUGAGGACAGGAGAGGAAAGUGGAAUUCCACGUGUAGCGGUGAAAUGCGUAGAUAUGUGGAGGAACACCAGUGGCGAAGGCGACUUUCUGGACUGUAACUGACGCUGAGGCGCGAAAGCGUGGGGAGCAAACAGGAUUAGAUACCCUGGUAGUCCACGCCGUAAACGAUGAGUGCUAGGUGUAGAGGGUAUCGACCCCUUCUGUGCCGCAGUUAACACAAUAAGCACUCCGCCUGGGGAGUACGGCCGCAAGGUUGAAACUCAAAAGCUGAAUUGACGG